GAUGAACGCUGGCGGCGUGCCUAAUACAUGCAAGUCGAGCGAACGGACGAGAAGCUUGCUUCUCUGAUGUUAGCGGCGGACGGGUGAGUAACACGUGGAUAACCUACCUAUAAGACUGGGAUAACUUCGGGAAACCGGAGCUAAUACCGGAUAAUAUUUUGAACCGCAUGGUUCAAAAGUGAAAGACGGUCUUGCUGUCGCUUAUAGAUGGAUCCGCGCUGCAUUAGCUAGUUGGUAAGGUAACGGCUUGCCAAGGCAACGAUGCAUAGCCGACCUGAGAGGGUGAUCGGCCACACUGGAACUGAGACACGGUCCAGACUCCUACGGGAGGCAGCAGUAGGGAAUCUUCCGCAAUGGGCGAAAGCCUGACGGAGCAACGCCGCGUGAGUGAUGAAGGUCUUCGGAUCGUAAAACUCUGUUAUUAGGGAAGAACAUAUGUGUAAGUAACUGUGCACAUCUUGACGGUACCUAAUCAGAAAGCCACGGCUAACUACGUG
RNAcentral lists this ribosomal RNA (497 nucleotides) under uncultured bacterium. RNAcentral describes it as "partial 16S ribosomal RNA". It matches the Rfam family "Bacterial small subunit ribosomal RNA", at positions 28 to 507 of the family's 1533-position model. The record is from RNAcentral.